AAGACCUCCACUAAAUGAAAAUAAAGAGCGCUAAAAUUUUCCCACGUUAUUUUUCUAGUUUCCCUCAUUUUUUUCCCCAAACCCUUUCUCCAUUCUUUCUCUCUCACUCCCCCAAUCUGAAGGAAAACAAAAGAGACAUUGUUCCCCAAACCCUUUCCCACGUCUCAAAAAAUUAGCAGUGGAACUUCAAUCACUGCUAAUAUUAUUUACCAUUGUUCAAGUAAUCUGUUCUAUUGGCUUUGUUAUUAAUUUUAUUCAGAUGUAUUGCCAUUUGCUUCAGUCAGAGUAAUUUCUCCGCACAGACUAUUAGGUCAUUUCAAGUCUCUUGUAGGGAAUAAAGCACAACCAGAAGGCUCCAUAGCUGAAGGUUACAUAGUUGAAGAAGCUUUAACUCUCUUUUCCCGCUAUUUUGAGGAUAUUGAAUCAAGGGCAAACCAAUUGGAGGAUUCACCGUAUUCCGCUUGACUCCUUUGGAGAAGACUCAAGCUCAUCGAUAUGUGUUACUUAACUGUGAUGCUGUGAAGCCAUAUAUUGAUGAAUUUAGGGAGCACAUAAGAAGGAGUUCAAGAGGCCGAAAGCCUUCAGUAACAGAGAUAGAGAGGAGAGUUAAUAGGGAGUUCCCUGAUUGGUUUCCAAAGCGAAUUAUGAAUCCGGACAUAGCAGACACGAUCUCUGUUGACAUGCAAUUCUUAGCACGAGGUCCAAUGCCAGAUGGAAGGAGGUUCACUGCUUAUAACAUUAAUGGAUUCAACUUUCGGACUUAGUCUAGAGAACAAGGAUUGAAAACUCAAAAUAGUGGAGUUUUUCUUACCUCUGACACUUCUUGUAUUGCAUCUAAUGCUGAUAGAAAUGCAAGACAAGCAGACUUGCCAUAUUAUGAAAAGCUAGAAGGUAUAAUUGAGCUUAAUUAUUAUGGCCGAUUCACGGUUGUACUCUUCAAGUGCCAAUGGGCGGACACUACUCGAGAUAGAGGGUUCAAAAGAGACGUUUGGAAUGUUAACUGUGUCAAUUUUUCAAGAUUGAUUCAUAUUGGUGAUCGUGAGGAUCAUGAUCCUUAUAUUGAAGCAUCUCAAGCAAAUAUGGUAUACUAUGUUGAUGAUGAUACUGACGAAGGAUAGAGUGUGGCCGUACAUCUAAAGCCAAGAGAUUUGUUUGACAUGGAAAUGGCGGAUGAAGAAGAAAUAUACGAGAAUGAACCAUUCCAACAACAAGAAUUUGAACAGAUUUUUGAUGUUAAUUAUGAGAAUAUCCAAGUUUCAACAGAGGAGCAUAUGCCUAAAUAGGAUUCAGCUUUUCUAGUUUCUAUGUUGUUCAUGUCACAGAACAUGUGACCUCGUCAGUUCAUGCUGCAGCACAGCCGGAUCCGUCCGUACAGACUACAACACAAUCAACUCCAUCAGUUCAAGCUGCAUCACAAGGCGUGGUGCAUGUGAGUCUACGUCGCAUUGGACAGUAGAUGCGAUAAGUAAACUUUUCUUGCUUGGUUUCAUCUCUAUUUCAAACUGCUGAAUCUUCUUUUAAUGUUUCUUUAUUAAAAUUGGUUACUAUUUUAACCUUCCUUUUUUGUAUUCACGUUGUUUUUGGUAUUUUAUAGAACUGUUGGUGCAAGUUUAUUUGUAGCAGCAGAUGUUCAAUUGGAGUAGUUCAAGAAAAUAAGUGAAAGAAACAAUAUGACUACAUGAUUCAUAUUAUUAAAAAGAAAAAUAUUGUAAUACUCUUUUCAACUUGUUUUAACUUUUCUAGUUACUAAAUGCUUUGAGAUUUCACGAAAUAUAAGAGAAUGUUAGUUCUGCUUGGUUUAACUUAGUGUU
Nicotiana attenuata is the source of this 1811-nucleotide RNA transcript. RefSeq lists it as uncharacterized. Lineage: Eukaryota; Viridiplantae; Streptophyta; Magnoliopsida; Solanales; Solanaceae. The transcript is spliced from 7 exons. The record is from RefSeq and is a predicted model, not a curated record.